This 244-nucleotide ribosomal RNA is filed under the name uncultured bacterium. RNAcentral's name for it is "partial 16S ribosomal RNA". It matches the Rfam family "Bacterial small subunit ribosomal RNA", at positions 15 to 249 of the family's 1533-position model. The record is from RNAcentral.
GAUCCUGGCUCAGGAUGAACGCUAGCUACAGGCUUAACACAUGCAAGUCGAGGGGCAGCAUUUCAGUUUGCUUGCAAACUGAAGAUGGCGACCGGCGCACGGGUGAGUAACACGUAUCCAACCUGCCGAUAACUCGGGGAUAGCCUUUCGAAAGAAAGAUUAAUAUCCGAUGGUAUAAUUAGACCGCAUGGUCUUGUUAUUAAAGAAUUUCGGUUAUCGAUGGGGAUGCGUUCCAUUAGGCAGG